This is a long non-coding RNA of Myzus persicae (green peach aphid), 894 nucleotides long. RefSeq lists it as uncharacterized. The record is from RefSeq and is a predicted model, not a curated record. The transcript is spliced from 4 exons. Lineage: Eukaryota; Metazoa; Arthropoda; Insecta; Hemiptera; Aphididae.
AUUAUGUAGCAUACCUACCUACUAAUACAUUUGACGCUUUUCAAUUAAAACGGUUUCGUCGUUAGUUUGUUCAAUGUUGAGUCAUCGGUAUACUCAUAAUAUAAUGGCCACUAUACGUGCAAUACGGAUCUAUACGCACAACACUUAGUAUGGAUAAAAACUUUAGCUCUGCAGAAUCGAUUUUCGUAAGCGGUCGUCCGACGCAAAUUUCACUGCAACUCACCCUCUGUCCAUGUACCUAAACCUACUGCACACGCACACAUGCAGUCAUCAGCGGUUUUGCACUAUGGAACGCUAAAAAUUGACCUUGGCUUAGAACGGAAAUAGAGAAUAUAGUGAUGGCUGGUGUAACUUUUAUACAAUUACUGCUAAUAAGGAACAAUAAUUGUAUUAUAUAUUUCUACAGCUAUUCCAAUAGGUAACAAUUUAAUUCAUAACAGUUGAGCAAUACUAUUCUUAACCAACGCUGUACGUGUUGCUGUGAAUUUAUAACGUAUUCACAUGGUUCUUUUUGUUACUUUGGUAGAAAGAAUAAUUACGUACAGACAAAUUAUGUUUUAUAUUCCUAGUUAUGUAUUGUGUUAUGUGUGUACAAAAAUAUAUUUAGCAUAUUUCAGGUUUUACAUGUUUUCAGGUCAUUACUCACGUUUUUAUCAAAUAUAUUUAAUUACAGUUUAAUGUUCAACCUAGAAACUAAAAAAGAAGUUUUUUUUUUAAUAAAAAUUAAUACCUAUUUAAUAUCAAUAAAUUUGGCUUUUGGUUUCAUAAUUAAAAUAUUUUAAAAUUGUUGUUUUUGUUAAGCAUUUGUUGGUGAAUUUAAAUAUGGAUACAUAAAAAAGUAUAUACUAAUGGCAAUAAUGCAAUAUACGAUACUUAAAAAUAAGAAUUACAAAA